This 254-nucleotide ribosomal RNA is filed under the name uncultured bacterium. Its description in RNAcentral is "partial 16S ribosomal RNA". It matches the Rfam family "Bacterial small subunit ribosomal RNA", at positions 524 to 776 of the family's 1533-position model. The record is from RNAcentral.
UACGUAGGGUGCGAGCGUUGUCCGGAAUUAUUGGGCGUAAAGAGCUCGUAGGCGGUGUGUCGCGUCGGCCGUGAAAACCUGGGGCUCAACUCUGGGCGUGCGGUCGAUACGGGCAUCACUUGAGUUCGGCAGGGGAGACUGGAAUUCCUGGUGUAGCGGUGAAAUGCGCAGAUAUCAGGAGGAACACCGGUGGCGAAGGCGGCCUACUGGGCCAGCACUGACGCUGAGGCGCGAAAGCUCGGGGAGCGAACGGG